UCUACUCUCUUCAUUCUUUGGUCCGGUAAUGCGUUCGGAUCAAUGAAGGAGGAUUGCCUACUUUUUGGGCGAUAAGCCGGAAUCCUCCUCCCCUUAGCAUCAUAUAUCACAACUUCAUCCUCAUUAGGUACUUUACAUUUCUCACCUAGUAUGAUCGUCUUCAUCCAGAUUGAGUCUUCCGGCUUCAACUUUCCGUUCUUUCGCUUGUUGUACUCUUCCUUUACCUUAUCUUUUCGUGCCAUCGACAAGCUUCGUGGCAAUUUAAUGCUCAAAUUCGAGAAGAGCCUUCGCUCGGAAGCAGACUUUUUCAAUUUAGGUUUCAUGUCGAGGUUGCCGGAAUAAAGCUGUCCUGAAUAAAGUUGUCCUGAGUUCUUCAUUCUUGGAGGCAAAGGCAACUCUUUACUCAUCAUUGGAUCCUCAUUUUCUUGAUCUCUUUCCAAAUCUUGUUGAGGUGUUUUGUUCCC
This 464-nucleotide long non-coding RNA is filed under the name Malus domestica (apple). RNAcentral describes it as "long non-coding RNA (MDOM_LNC007300)". The record is from RNAcentral. Lineage: Eukaryota; Viridiplantae; Streptophyta; Magnoliopsida; Rosales; Rosaceae.